RNAcentral lists this ribosomal RNA (485 nucleotides) under uncultured bacterium. RNAcentral's name for it is "partial 16S ribosomal RNA". It matches the Rfam family "Bacterial small subunit ribosomal RNA", at positions 356 to 858 of the family's 1533-position model. The record is from RNAcentral.
GGGGAAUAUUGGACAAUGGGGGCAACCCUGAUCCAGCAAUGCCGCGUGUGUGAAGAAGGUCUUCGGAUUGUAAAGCACUUUCGACGGGGACGAUGAUGACGGUACCCGUAGAAGAAGCCCCGGCUAACUUCGUGCCAGCAGCCGCGGUAAUACGAAGGGGGCUAGCGUUGCUCGGAAUGACUGGGCGUAAAGGGCGUGUAGGCGGUUUACACAGUCAGAUGUGAAAUCCCCGGGCUUAACCUGGGAGCUGCAUUUGAUACGUGUAGACUAGAGUGUGAGAGAGGGUUGUGGAAUUCCCAGUGUAGAGGUGAAAUUCGUAGAUAUUGGGAAGAACACCGGUGGCGAAGGCGGCAACCUGGCUCAUUACUGACGCUGAGGCGCGAAAGCGUGGGGAGCAAACAGGAUUAGAUACCCUGGUAGUCCACGCUGUAAACGAUGUGUGCUAGAUGUUGGGUAACUUUGUUAUUCAGUGUCGCAGUUAACGC